CGCCUCUUGAUUUUUAUAAGAGGUAACGCCUGCCCAGUGACAUAUUCAACGGCCGCGGUAUUUUAACCGUGCGAAGGUAGCGUAAUCACUUGUUUUUUAAAUAAAGACCUGUAUGAACGGCAUCACGAGAACUAAACUGUCUCCCCCCUCUAAUCAGUGAAACUGAUCUCCCCGUGCAGAAGCGGGGGUAAAAUCAUAAGACGAGAAGACCCUGUGGAGCUUAAAAUCAAAUACCAACUGUCGGUACUUAAAAACACUAAUACAGUUAUGGCUUAGAUUUUCAGCUGGGGUGCCUGCGGAGUAAAAACUACCCUCCGCGAAGAAUUUGCCAAGAGCAACCACUCUAAGCAUUUAUAAAUUUUACUUAAUUGAUCCAAAUUUUUGAUCAACGGACCAAGUUACCCCAGGGAUAACAGCGCAAUCCACUUUUAGAGGCCCUAUCGACAAGUGGGCUUACGACCUCGAUGUUGGAUCAGGGCAUCCAAGUGGUGCAGCCAUUACUAAAGGUUCGUUUGUUCAACGAUUAAAGCCCU
RNAcentral lists this ribosomal RNA (533 nucleotides) under Leptolalax sp. JJLR-2015 (Lineage 7). RNAcentral's name for it is "partial 16S ribosomal RNA". It matches the Rfam family "Bacterial large subunit ribosomal RNA", at positions 1831 to 2597 of the family's 2925-position model. The record is from RNAcentral. Lineage: Eukaryota; Metazoa; Chordata; Amphibia; Anura; Megophryidae.